Molecule: ribosomal RNA, 544 nt
Filed under: uncultured bacterium
Lineage: Bacteria
Description: bacterial SSU rRNA
Rfam family: Bacterial small subunit ribosomal RNA
Source: RNAcentral
AAUAGAUACCCGGGUAGUCCACCCCGUAAACGUUGGGAACUAGUUGUGGGGUCCUUUCCACGGAUUCCGUGACGCAGCUAACGCAUUAAGUUCCCCGCCUGGGGAGUACGGCCGCAAGGCUAAAACUCAAAGGAAUUGACGGGGACCCGCACAAGCGGCGGAGCAUGCGGAUUAAUUCGAUGCAACGCGAAGAACCUUACCAAGGCUUGACAUACACCAGAACACCCUAGAAAUAGGGGACUCUUUGGACACUGGUGAACAGGUGGUGCAUGGUUGUCGUCAGCUCGUGUCGUGAGAUGUUGGGUUAAGUCCCGCAACGAGCGCAACCCUCGUUCUAUGUUGCCAGCACGUAAUGGUGGGAACUCAUGGGAUACUGCCGGGGUCAACUCGGAGGAAGGUGGGGAUGACGUCAAAUCAUCAUGCCCCUUAUGUCUUGGGCUUCACGCAUGCUACAAUGGCCGGUACAAAGGGCUGCAAUACCGUGAGGUGGAGCGAAUCCCACAAAGCCGGUCUCAGUUCGGAUUGGAGUCUGCAACUCGACUCC